RNAcentral lists this ribosomal RNA (94 nucleotides) under Paenibacillus odorifer. Lineage: Bacteria; Bacillati; Bacillota; Bacilli; Caryophanales; Paenibacillaceae. The record is from RNAcentral. RNAcentral also lists the same sequence under 3 other names.
UCCACGCGUACCCAUCCCGAACACGACCGUUAAGCCCUCCAGCGCCGAUGGUACUUGGACCGAAGGGUCCUGGGAGAGUAGGACGUUGCCAAGC